This 253-nucleotide ribosomal RNA is filed under the name uncultured bacterium. RNAcentral describes it as "partial 16S ribosomal RNA". It matches the Rfam family "Bacterial small subunit ribosomal RNA", at positions 524 to 776 of the family's 1533-position model. The record is from RNAcentral.
UACGUAGGGGGCAAGCGUUGUCCGGAAUCAUUGGGCGUAAAGCGCGUGUAGGCGGCCUUGUAAGUCCGUUCUGAAAGUCCGGGGCUCAACCCCGGGAGGCGGAUGGAUACUGCAAGGCUCGAGUCCGGAAGAGGCGAGUGGAAUUCCCGGUGUAGCGGUGAAAUGCGCAGAUAUCGGGAAGAACACCUAUGGCGAAGGCAGCUCUCUGGGACGGUACUGACGCUGAGACGCGAAAGCGUGGGGAGCGAACAGG